UUCGGCUUUCAAUAUAUAAAUGCUCACGAUGUUUAUCUUGGUUGUCCAUAUUCUAUGUGCAAUGGAGCGCUAAUGAGGUCAACACCAGACGAUUAAAAAAAAGGGGGGGUACAAGUCGAUAAGAUGUAUGGACGAGGAAACAGCAACCUAACACCAGCCGAUGUUAAAAACAAGUACAAAGUGGUCCCUUAAGUAAGUCCUCAUUUUUGUUAUGUGUUUUGGUAUAGUUAUAAAUAAAUAUUUGAAACGUAAUAUUAUCAAUUUAAUAAUAAAAUACCUGUUGUCUAUUGUUUGAACAAAAUCAAAUUAUACUAUUAAACGAGAAGACCUCAUUUUUGGUGUCGCUUCUCCUCCUUUCAAAUAAAUAAAUCAUCAUGCCUCUGUGUCCCUAUAGGUAACAUUAUAGUUGCAUUUGUCAUCCAUUAUGAUCAUUAAGUUGGGUUAAUUGGGAUAAAAAAAAAAGAAUGCGUCCGGAUAUUUCCCCGUCAUUGGACAAAACUUAAGUCAGUUAGACUUCCGGUUUGUGUUUUUCUGUACUUCGAACAUACAAAGACUAUGAAAUAAGUAUAUGAAUUUGCUUUCUGCUAUCAUUUUGAGUACUAGCAUUACAUCUUGCUUAACGUGUUUCAGUUUGUUUAUUUUGGGGAAAAACGAAAAUGAUUACUAUCAAUUAGUUUACAGUGGCGGAUCCAGAACUUUUCAUAAGGGAGGGGGCGCUGAUGACCUAAAGGGGGCGUUACUCUCAUGCUUCCCCAUAUAAUCAACAAUUUUUUUCCAACGAGAGGGGAUCCGCCUAUGGUUUACUAUCAACGGCGGUCACUGCGGAUAUAUGUAUAUAUACUUACAUACAUUUACUAUGAAUUACUGUAUUUGUUAAAAAUUUACUAUAAAUUCCAAUGGUUAUUUUGGGGGGGGGGGGGGGACUCUUUUACUAUUCAUGGCGUUCACUGAUGUAUAUAUAUAUAUAAAUAAGUACCUUUGACUUUGGAUACCUCUCCUGAAAUUCUCUGUAUUGAGUAAUUAAAGUAUAUAUGCAGGUUCAUAGAGUACAGAAAAACAGAAGGUAUAAAAAUCGGUAUUUGGAAAAUAGAGGAGGGCAAAAAGAUGUCCCAUUCCUAAGUAGCUUUGAAUUUUCGAUACCUUCUCCGAAAUUCUCCGUCAAGAUAUUUUUUUUUUUACAGUUUACAUACGCACUAUUUCCCCGCGAUUUCGCGGGUGUGUUCUAGUAAUGUAUAAUUUUCGGCUUUCAAUAUAUAAAUGCUCACGAUGUUUAUCUUGGUUGUACCAUAUUCUAUGUGCAAUGGAGCGCAAAUGAGGUCAACACCAGACGAUGUUAAAAAAAAAGGGGGGGUACAAGUCGAUAAGAUGUAUGGACGAGGAAACAGCAACCUAACACAGCCGAUGUUAAAAACAAGUACAAGACGAUUGCAAGUAUAUAUGAGGAAACAGCAACCAAACAAUGCAAAUAACAAAAUACGUCAAUAACAAUUCGGAGUGUCAAUAUUAUUAUAUAAUUGUAUGACAUUUCACAAUAGGCCCAUUUCAAAAUUACUACAAAAAUUUAUUUGUCAUCAUCUAAUUAUCUAAGAAGAAAAGAUAAAAAUGAGCAAAAAAGGACAAACAUUAAAGAAUGGAAAAAGGGAAUAAUAGUUGAUCAAAUUCAAAUCUGUAUUUUCCUUAAAUUUUUAUGCCAUUUAUCUCAAUUACUUGUA
RNAcentral lists this long non-coding RNA (1712 nucleotides) under Mytilus galloprovincialis (Mediterranean mussel). Lineage: Eukaryota; Metazoa; Mollusca; Bivalvia; Mytilida; Mytilidae. The record is from RNAcentral.